RNAcentral lists this unclassified non-coding RNA (202 nucleotides) under Hevea brasiliensis (rubber tree). The record is from RNAcentral. Lineage: Eukaryota; Viridiplantae; Streptophyta; Magnoliopsida; Malpighiales; Euphorbiaceae.
CUAUGAAGAAGAUCGAAGUCGACCAAAGAGGAGACGACAUCCAAUUUCGUAGAGAUAUACAUGUGGGAGUUGAAGAAAAACCUCCUGUAAGAUGGGUGUCCAAACAACUGCCUGAUUUUUGUUGGUGGCAAAAGAAAAAACGAAGAAAAAGAAUUAAACGGAUGUUGAUUUUCGGAUUUUGGAGAAAGAUGAUCUAUCUAAG